Molecule: ribosomal RNA, 459 nt
Filed under: uncultured bacterium
Lineage: Bacteria
Description: partial 16S ribosomal RNA
Rfam family: Bacterial small subunit ribosomal RNA
Source: RNAcentral
AGCGAACGCUGGCGGCAGGCCUAACACAUGCAAGUCGAACGAACUCUUCGGAGUUAGUGGCGGACGGGUGAGUAACACGUGGGAACGUGCCUUUUGGUUCGGAAUAACUCAGGGAAACUUGUGCUAAUACCGAAUGUGCCCUUCGGGGGAAAGAUUUAUCGCCAUUAGAGCGGCCCGCGUCUGAUUAGCUAGUUGGUGAGGUAACGGCUCACCAAGGCGACGAUCAGUAGCUGGUCUGAGAGGAUGACCAGCCACACUGGGACUGAGACACGGCCCAGACUCCUACGGGAGGCAGCAGUAGGGAAUCUUCGGCAAUGGACGGAAGUCUGACCGAGCAACGCCGCGUGAGUGAAGAAGGUUUUCGGAUCGUAAAGCUCUGUUGUAAGAGAAGAACGAGUGUGAGAGUGGAAAGUUCACACUGUGACGGUAUCUUACCAGAAAGGGACGGCUAACUACGUG